Thunnus maccoyii (southern bluefin tuna) is the source of this 502-nucleotide long non-coding RNA. RefSeq lists it as uncharacterized. The transcript has 3 exons. Lineage: Eukaryota; Metazoa; Chordata; Actinopteri; Scombriformes; Scombridae. The record is from RefSeq and is a predicted model, not a curated record.
UGAGUAACACCGCCGAGGAUCAGCUGCCGUGAAACCCACCAACAGAGCAUGAAGAUGGACCCCCGUCAGCAUCGGAAGAUGGACUGAAACACACCCUAUUGCUUCCUUGAGUGACACAAGGUAUACUCAUAGAUCUUCAUCAGUGACAGUCUACAGUCAGGCCCCCUUCCCUCUACUGUGACAGGAAGUUACAGUGUAUCUACAUGUGUAUGUCCAGGCAUCCAGUAUUCAUUCAUCCAAUACUGUAUGAUGAUGUGGGCAGUGGUCAUACUUUUCCAACUUUGUGAAGAAAAGAAAAAAAAAACAAAAAACAGAACAAUCCAAACAGGGCUGUGGUUUUUACAUGGUAUGUGUGCUGGACCACUGGUUUGCAAAUAUGUCAAACAUCACCUGUCAAUACAUGUUUUGCCAGUGAAAGAAUUUGAGUUUGGGAGGAUGUGGUCAUUAAAUGCAUUUUGAGUCGACGCAAUAAAAAAGUCAUGCAAACUUCACUCUGCAUAAA